This 252-nucleotide ribosomal RNA is filed under the name uncultured bacterium. RNAcentral's name for it is "partial 16S ribosomal RNA". It matches the Rfam family "Bacterial small subunit ribosomal RNA", at positions 525 to 776 of the family's 1533-position model. The record is from RNAcentral.
ACGGGGGAUGCAAGCGUUAUCCGGAAUGAUUGGGCGUAAAGAGUCCGUAGGUAGUCAUCCAAGUCUGCUGUUAAAGAGCGAGGCUUAACCUCGUAAAGGCAGUGGAAACUGGAAGACUAGAGUGUAGUAGGGGCAGAGGGAAUUCCUGGUGUAGCGGUGAAAUGCGUAGAGAUCAGGAAGAACACCGGUGGCGAAGGCGCUCUGCUGGGCUAUAACUGACACUGAGGGACGAAAGCUAGGGGAGCGAAUGGG